GCUUAAGAACACCAAAUACACAUUUUUAAAAAUUUGUGCAUCUGGGGUUGCAGAAAGAUUGUUUUUUUUUAUUAAUGGGGUGAUUUUUUCUUGUAAAGAUAGGGUUUUUAUUCAUUGUUGGGUUAUUUGGAGAUGAUGGGUGUUGGUAUUUGUAGAAGGAUGUAGCUGGACAAUAAUUUUCUUCAAAUUUUGAUUGAUGAUUUUUAGGCUUUCAUUUUUUUUUUUUUUAA
Molecule: unclassified non-coding RNA, 230 nt
Filed under: Hevea brasiliensis (rubber tree)
Lineage: Eukaryota; Viridiplantae; Streptophyta; Magnoliopsida; Malpighiales; Euphorbiaceae
Source: RNAcentral